CCGUGCUACCUCUGUUAUUUUUGUUUUUAAAUUUGGCCAAGCCCAGACAUGUGUGCUAUCGUUGGGUGUUGGGGGAAAAAAUAAAAGACAAGAUGAUUUGUCUGCAAUUCAAACCCAAGAGGGUUUCCUAGGUGUGGAGUGAUGGGUUCUGAAAUGCCAAAUGAGAAAGAAGGUCAGGGAGCUACAAAAGAGGUACAGAGGUAGGGACAAGGCAGUGCUUCAUUUACCUUCAGCAAACCUGGUGAUUUACCUUCUCCUUCAGUCCCUUCACCAUCACCAAUCCUUCCCCUGAAAAAACCAUUGUGGACUGCCUGAUGAUAAGUUGGGAAGUGAGAGUGGGUAGGUGUGGAGCAAGAAUAACAACAUCCUGGGUACCGUACAUUCUGAAGGAACAGAGGGAAUUCCUGUUUUGUUUUAACCUGGGACAGAGGGGAUUGGUUUGUUCUCUCCAGGUGAAAUGAUUAUUAUCAUUUAUUAUUUAUUAGCCAGAGGUCUUAGGUGAGAUCAAAUUCAAUCAUUAUAAUUUAUAUUUCAAUAUACUGCUUAACUUCAUGAUAGGCAAUGUUCUAGGUGCUCCUCACAUGUGAAAUUUUAAUAUUUUUACUGCAACUCUGGAGGUAAGUACUAUUAUUAUACCAAUUCUACAGAUGAAAAAGCCAAGGAAUAGCAUGCUUGAAUCACUUGCCCAAGAUGCCAUGUUUAGAUAGUGGUACAGUGGGGAUUCGAACGCGGGAGCUCAGGUUUCAAAGUCUGUGCUCUUUACAUAUGCAGCUAAAGAGUCAGACAAGAACCAAAAGGAGAUGGAGAAUAGAGGGUAGAAAGGGCACAGGUUCAAGGUGAAAGGUCAGAAACUGCAAAUUCGGAGUUUGGGUUGGUCUAGCAGCUUAAAGGCGUCAUCAUGAACUGUUCACCUAAGUAAGUUAAGCUCCUGUUUGAGAAUGACUGAUAAGCUUGCAAGCCAACUUACAAACAAACUGGGGAAAUGUUCCAAUAGAUGACUAAGUCUUUUAGGUCUUUUUACCUGUGUUUUUC
RNAcentral lists this long non-coding RNA (1032 nucleotides) under Homo sapiens (human). RNAcentral describes it as "HSALNT0285094". The record is from RNAcentral. Lineage: Eukaryota; Metazoa; Chordata; Mammalia; Primates; Hominidae.